RNAcentral lists this ribosomal RNA (357 nucleotides) under uncultured bacterium. RNAcentral's name for it is "bacterial SSU rRNA". It matches the Rfam family "Bacterial small subunit ribosomal RNA", at positions 29 to 414 of the family's 1533-position model. The record is from RNAcentral.
AACGAACGCUGGCGGCAGGCCUAACACAUGCAAGUCGAACGCUCCGCAAGGGGAGUGGCGCACGGGUGAGUAACACGUGGGAACCUACCUUCUGGUACGGAACAACCAAGGGAAACUUUGGCUAAGACCGUAUACGACCUCCGGGUGAAAGAUUGAUCGCCGGAAGAGGGGCCCGCGUCCGAUUAGGUAGUUGGUGAGGUAACGGCUCACCAAGCCUUCGAUCGGUAGCUGGUCUGAGAGGAUGACCAGCCACACUGGGACUGAGACACGGCCCCAGACUCCUACGGGAGGCAGCAGUGGGGAAUAUUGGACAAUGGGCGCAAGCCUGAUCCAGCCAUGCCGCGUGAGUGAUGAAGG